Molecule: ribosomal RNA, 398 nt
Filed under: uncultured bacterium
Lineage: Bacteria
Description: partial 16S ribosomal RNA
Rfam family: Bacterial small subunit ribosomal RNA
Source: RNAcentral
AUAUUGCACAACGGGGGAAACCCUGAUGCAGCGACGCCGCGUGAGCGAAGAAGGCCUUCGGGUCGUAAAGCUCUGUCCUAAGGGAAGAAACGGACGGUACCUUAGGAGGAAGCCCCGGCUAACUACGUGCCAGCAGCCGCGGUAAUACGUAGGGGGCGAGCGUUAUCCGGAAUUACUGGGCGUAAAGGGUGCGUAGGCGGCCUUUUAAGUCAGAUGUGAAAGCCCGCGGCUUAACCGCGGAACUGCAUUUGAAACUGGAGGGCUUGAGUGUCGGAGAGGGUAGUGGAAUUCCCAGUGUAGCGGUGAAAUGCGUAGAUAUUGGGAGGAACACCAGUGGCGAAGGCGACUACCUGGACGAUAACUGACGCUGAGGCACGAAAGCUAGGGGAGCAAACAGG